This 360-nucleotide ribosomal RNA is filed under the name Triticum aestivum (bread wheat). Its description in RNAcentral is "partial small subunit ribosomal RNA". Lineage: Eukaryota; Viridiplantae; Streptophyta; Magnoliopsida; Poales; Poaceae. The record is from RNAcentral.
AUGGAACAGCUACGGAAAGGAGAUCAUGGACAGAUGGAGGGCUCCAUCGCAAACACAUUGUUCGACGAAUGGACAGUGCAGCAACAAUACAACACGACCUAUAAAGCCAUACUUCCCGCAGAAUUUAUCGUGCUCGAUGUUAAAAUUGGAGAAAAAGGAGGACUAGCAAAAUUCAAUGAGGAAGAAGCAUUGAAACAGUUUGCACCCCUUGUAACAGGGAAGGAACUUUUAAAGAAAAAGCUGAUUAUGAUACCUCACAACACAGCUAAACACUACACAUUGUACGUGCUCAACAAGUACACAAGCUCCAUCGACAUACUUGACUCACUGAAUUACAGACACGGAAACGGAAAAAAUUAA